This 425-nucleotide ribosomal RNA is filed under the name uncultured bacterium. RNAcentral's name for it is "bacterial SSU rRNA". It matches the Rfam family "Bacterial small subunit ribosomal RNA", at positions 359 to 776 of the family's 1533-position model. The record is from RNAcentral.
GAAUAUUGGGCAAUGGGCGAGAGCCUGACCCAGCCAUGCCGCGUGCGGGAAGAAGGCCUUCGGGUUGUAAACCGCUUUUGGCAGGAACGAAACGGCGCGGGCUAAUACCUCGCGUUAAUGACGGUACCUGCAGCAUAAGCACCGGCUAACUACGUGCCCGCCGCCGCGGUAAUCCGUAGGGUGCAAGCGUUAAUCGGAAUUACUGGGCGUAAAGCGUACGCAGGCGGCUUUGCAAGACAGGUGUGAAAUCCCCGGGCCUAACCUGGGAACUGCAUUUGUGACUGCAUGGCUAGAGUCUGUCAGAGGGGGGUGGAAUUCCACGUGUAGCAGUGAAAUGCGUAGAGAUGUGGAAGAACACCGAUGGCGAAGGCAGCCCCCUGGGAUAAGACUGACGCUCAUGUACGAAAGCGUGGGGAGCAAACAGG